UGGUGAGAAAAGUCAAAGAUUGUAAAUCAAAUUAAAAAUGAAUAACGCCUGGAACAACAUGCCCAAUUUAGGCAUGGGGAUCGGUAUAGGGAUGGGUCAAGGUUAAGGGAUGGGUCCAGGUAUGGGGAUGGGGCCAGGUAUGGAUGGGAUGACAGCAACGCAGACAGGUAUGGGGGGAUGGUGAUGAGGUCUGGGAAGGCGAAGGAAGCUAUUAUUGCCGAAAAAGAAGACUGGCACGGGCAAGGAGAAGAGCAGCUCGGUUGGAGCGAUCUGUUCCUUUAAAACAGUACGACCUAAACAAAAAUAUGAAUAUUUGAAACGUCACUGUAAGUGCCAGGUGGGAUGGUUCAUCCACGGGUUUAAUAAAUCCACAUUAUCCACCGGAGUUUGAUAAUAUUAAAGCAACGGUGGAAAUAAGCUUUCCUCCAACAUAGCUACAUUGGCACUAUAUAAAAUUAAUUCAAAUGAGUCAGAAACAAUGACGCUGACAAUUAAAAGAGAUGCGGAAAGUCCGAUUCGAGUAUGCCACCCAUAUCACAGAUUUUGAUGAGAACGAUGUUUCUUUUAUAACACGCGUAGUGGGUGUAUUUUCUUUAUUAAUCGUUCAGUUAGUUUCUGAAGCUUCAAUCGAGGAAGCUGAUGCGAAGCCACGGCCGGCAGCAGGCGUCGACGUGGACGAGCUCGAUGCCGAUGUGAAGGCCGAGAACGAGAACUCAAAGUUCAACGACCUAUCCUACUUGAUUAUGUGGGAGUAUUGGAAGCAGCAGUUGCACGCUUCCGUUCGAUCAGUCGAACACAUCACAAAAACAAAAGGAAAAAAUCAGAAAAAUUGCAGAAAAAUUCAAUAAAAUUCAGAAAUAAAAAAACCAAACCAAAUUUAAAUUUGGAUUUUUGUUAUCUAGUGCGUUGUUAACCAAGUUCAAAGAAUUGAAUUCCUGCUAGUAUGGCAGAACUAAUGAACCGAAGGAGUAAGGCCCCCCCCCAUAAUAUAUGUGGUACAACGCAAACUACCUAUGCCAAGUAAAAUGAGGAAGUUCUGCGAUAACCUCAUGGGAAUUGAUAAUUAUGUAUUAAAAUAUCAGGAUGACGGCACAGUCAAAAUUGUGUGUCCAACCAGAGCCUCUUACAAAAAAUCGUAUUAUGCAUUAAUGAUGAUGAGACAUAUCCAGUCAUCUCCUCCAGUGAGUCAGAGAGCGAGCGAGUAAGUACCGCUCAGUCAUUAAAUUCCAAUAUAACUGCUGUCGAGGAAAUACUCAAGAACCAAGGCAAAAGGCCUGCAGCUCCACUCAGCCCUUUGUCCAACACCGCCAAAAAAAUUGUUAAAUUCCCUCAAGCAAAGCCAUCUUAAUCUGCAAUGGAUUUAUCAACUGAUGAUGAGCUGUGCGGAGUUCCAACACGAGUGCGAGUGCCAGCAGCGACCAUACCAAAUGCUGCCGGCCCUUCACGUGUUACUCCCACAGCACAAGCAGCCCACAAGUACCACCUACUAUUGAAUCCCGACCCACCAAACCACCGCCAUUAGUUCUUCAUAAAGUGAGCAACAUUGCUGCCACUUUAAAGGAAAUAUCCCAACUAAUUCCCAUGGAUAAAUUCUACACGAAGACAACUCCUGCUGGUGGACUCCGUAUCAUGUGCAUUGAUGUGAACUCCUACAGAACCUUGCAGAGCCACUUCAGGAUCGGUGAAUGCACCACCCCAUCUUAUACGUAUCAUAAUCAGGGAUCUCCACCAUACCACGGAUAAAGAUUAUAUCAUUGUAAUGCUGGCCAGCUAUGGACAUGAAGCCACAUUCGUUCACUGCAUGACUUGUCACGGAACCCAAGAACCCUUCAACAUGUUCAAUGUGCAAUUGAAGCCUAAGCCAAAAUCCUCCAGUUCGAAAGCAUGUGGCACGCGGAUCUCAAAAUUUCAACUGUCAAAGAAAUCUACAAUGGACUCUGCAAUAACUACUUCACCCGAUUAAUGCAGCACUCAAAUCUACUUGAGUAAAAUGAUCUUACAAAAAAUUCAACCAUUUUUUAAAAAAGUGCAAUGUCAAGCUCCAGCUUCAGUUGCUACUAUAGCUCUAGCCCUGCUGAGGGUUUAUUUUAUUGAAGUUUAAAUUAACUUUUAAGUAAUUUAGUUUAAGCAAGAAGAGCGUUGCAGAGGUUUAAGUACGCUACGAGAAGAUUCGUUGCGGAGGUUCAAUUACGCUCCGAGAAGAUUCGUUGCGGAGGUUCAAUAACGCUCCGAGAAGUCUGGUUGCGGAGGUUGAAGCACGAUUCGAGGCGUAUACAGCUGUUGGCUGCAACCGCCGAUGGCGGGCCGAUUAUGGCUUUCUCGUAUCUGCUUUAUAUACAAAUAUAUAUUUACUUUAUAUAUAUAUACGACUAAGCUAACCAUAAAAACACAUCAAAAUAUGGGAUAAUUGAAUUUUUAAUUAAAGUAAUGACAU
Long non-coding RNA from Drosophila miranda, 2434 nucleotides. RefSeq lists it as uncharacterized. The transcript is spliced from 2 exons. The record is from RefSeq and is a predicted model, not a curated record. Lineage: Eukaryota; Metazoa; Arthropoda; Insecta; Diptera; Drosophilidae.